UACAGAGGUCCCAAGCGUUGUUCGGAUUCAUUGGGCGUAAAGGGUGCGUAGGUGGCGCUGUAAGUCAGGUGUGAAAUCUCGGGGCUCAACCCCGAAACUGCACUUGAUACUGCGGUGCUUGAGGACUGGAGAGGAGAUCGGAAUUCAUGGUGUAGCAGUGAAAUGCGUAGAUAUCAUGAGGAAGACCAGUGGCGAAGGCGGAUCUCUGGACAGUUCCUGACACUGAGGCACGAAGGCCAGGGGAGCAAACGGG
Molecule: ribosomal RNA, 253 nt
Filed under: uncultured bacterium
Lineage: Bacteria
Description: partial 16S ribosomal RNA
Rfam family: Bacterial small subunit ribosomal RNA
Source: RNAcentral